This 425-nucleotide ribosomal RNA is filed under the name uncultured rumen bacterium. RNAcentral describes it as "bacterial SSU rRNA". It matches the Rfam family "Bacterial small subunit ribosomal RNA", at positions 354 to 776 of the family's 1533-position model. The record is from RNAcentral.
GUGAGGAAUAUUGGUCAAUGGGCGGAAGCCUGAACCAGCCAUGCCGCGUGAUGGAAGGAGGCCCUAUGGGUCGUAAACAUCUUUUGUGCGGGAGCAAUAAGGGCCACGCGUGGUCCGAUGAGAGUACCGUACGAAUAAGCAUCGGCUAACUCCGUGCCAGCAGCCGCGGUAAUACGGAGGAUGCAAGCGUUAUCCGGAUUUAUUGGGUUUAAAGGGUGCGUAGGCUGUUUUCCAAGUCAGCGGUGAAAUGCCGGGGCUUAACCCCGGAACUGCCAUUGAUACUGGGAGGCUUGAAUGCGGAUGCCGUGGGAGGAAUGAGUAGUGUAGCGGUGAAAUGCAUAGAUAUUACUCAGAACACCGAUUGCGAAGGCAUCUCACGAAUCCGCUAUUGACGCUGAGGCACGAAAGCGUGGGGAUCAAACAGG